AGUGAACGCUGGCGGUAGACCUAACACAUGCAAGUCGAACGGCAGCACAGUAAGGGCUUGCUCUUACGGGUGGCGAGUGGCGGACGGGUGAGGAAUACAUCGGAAUCUACUUUUUCGUGGGGGAUAACGUAGGGAAACUUACGCUAAUACCGCAUACGACCUACGGGUGAAAGCAGGGGAUCUUCGGACCUUGCGCGAUUGAAUGAGCCGAUGUCGGAUUAGCUAGUUGGCGGGGUAAAGGCCCACCAAGGCGACGAUCCGUAGCUGGUCUGAGAGGAUGAUCAGCCACACUGGAACUGAGACACGGUCCAGACUCCUACGGGAGGCAGCAGUGGGGAAUAUUGGACAAUGGGCGCAAGCCUGAUCCAGCCAUACCGCGUGGGUGAAGAAGGCCUUCGGGUUGUAAAGCCCUUUUGUUGGGAAAGAAAAGCAGCAGGUUAAUACCCCGCUGUUCUGACGGUACCCAAAGAAUAAGCACCGGCUAACUUCGUG
RNAcentral lists this ribosomal RNA (492 nucleotides) under uncultured bacterium. RNAcentral's name for it is "partial 16S ribosomal RNA". It matches the Rfam family "Bacterial small subunit ribosomal RNA", at positions 29 to 507 of the family's 1533-position model. The record is from RNAcentral.